RNAcentral lists this ribosomal RNA (253 nucleotides) under uncultured bacterium. RNAcentral describes it as "partial 16S ribosomal RNA". It matches the Rfam family "Bacterial small subunit ribosomal RNA", at positions 524 to 776 of the family's 1533-position model. The record is from RNAcentral.
UACAGAGGUCUCAAGCGUUGCUCGGAAUUACUGGGCGUACAGCGCACGUAGGCGGCUUUGUAAUUUAGAGGUGAAAGCCCGGGGCUCAACUCCGGAACUGCCUUUAAGACUGCAUCGCUUGAAUCCGGGAGAGGUGAGUGGAAUUCCGAGUGUAGAGGUGAAAUUCGUAGAUAUUCGGAAGAACACCAGUGGCGAAGGCGGCGCACUGGACCGGUAUUGACGCUGAGGUGCGAAAGCGUGGGGAGCAAACAGG